Molecule: RNA transcript, 1409 nt
Organism: Pan troglodytes (chimpanzee)
Lineage: Eukaryota; Metazoa; Chordata; Mammalia; Primates; Hominidae
Gene: SPATA19
Gene name: spermatogenesis associated 19
Exons: 10
Source: RefSeq, a predicted model, not a curated record
UUCAAUGACCUUCCUGUCCCAUAGGAGUUCUCAGGCAGCUUCAAUGGAAGGAGGGAGCCAAGAAGGGGGCCUGGUAUACAUUCAAAGAUGAUAAUUACGACAUGGAUUGUGUAUAUUCUUGCUCGGAAAGGUGUAGGGCUUCCCUUCCUACCAAUAACCAGUUCGGACAUUGACGUUGUGGAAAGCGAGGCUGUGUCUGUACUACAUCAUUGGUUGAAAAAAACAGAAGAAGAGGCUUCUCGGGGCAUAAAGGAAAAGCUGUCCAUCAACCACCCUUCCCAGGGUGUAAGGGAGAAGACGUCCACUGACUCCCCUCCCACCCACGGCCAGGACAUCCACGUGAGCAGAGAUGUGGUGAAGCACCACCUCUCUAAGUCUGAUUUGUUGGCAAACCAGAGCCAAGAGGUCCUAGAGGAGAGAACACGAAUCCAGUUCAUAAGAUGGAGCCACACUCGUAUCUUCCAAGUGCCAAGUGAGAUGACAGAGGACAUCAUGCGAGAUCGAAUAGAGCAGCAUAUCCCGUCUUACAGAUGUGUCAGCUCAGGACUUCAGUAUGAGACCCUCCUCCUCAGACUGCUGAGAGCAACAGGUGGAAGUCCUUCAGGGUCCAGCAGCAACCUGUAUCAGAAGAACAUCCUUCUCUGCUUGACCUGAAGAAGGGCCAGACCUGGGCAGAAAGACUCCAGCAGGGAAAGGCUGCUGCCAAAAGUGGAGGACUUAAAGCUGGAGGCCGCCCCAAAGACGGGGAAAUGAAGAAAACGCUGUUUCUGGAGCUCCCUGAGGACAAGGGGAGCAGCUUCUGUUCUCAGAAUCCCUGAGCUGCGCUCCUCUGGAGUGUCACCCCCAGGCUGGAGGAGAUGGCUGUGUCAGUUUCCCAUUGCUGCUCUAACAAAGCGUGCAGAUUCUGCAACUCAGAACCAGAGACGUCCGUUGCCCCACAGCUCCAGAGACUGGAAGUAUGGGAUCAAGCAGACACAUGAGCAGAACCCAGGAUGGAAGAAUGUAAUCACCAGCGUGACUCCAGUGAUGGAGAUGAACUAGAUGUGGAGACUGGGGAGCAGCAGAGUCAACUCAGUUAUCAUCUUGGCGGCCGGGCUGCCGUCCAGCUCACAGAAGCCACCUGAUCCGGAAAAGAUUUCCAACGCCUGCUGGAGUAAGUUUGGCAGUAAGUUGUUAUUGCAUCUGGCCUCCUACCUACAAAAACUACCCCGAUAGAAAGGUGAUCCUGUGUGAUGAGUUACCCUGUCCUCCUGUGACUGCUCUCUAUGUCAUGUUUUCAGAGUAGCCCUCCCAGUCAGGAGAGCAAAGUCACAUUCCAUCUGGGGACAUCUGAGAGGAGAUGCAGAAGCUAGUAGCUGAUUUUCCUCCCCUGCUCCUUCCCUUGAAUAAACACACUUGAUGCAUACUGG